RNAcentral lists this ribosomal RNA (453 nucleotides) under uncultured organism. Its description in RNAcentral is "partial 16S ribosomal RNA". It matches the Rfam family "Bacterial small subunit ribosomal RNA", at positions 329 to 798 of the family's 1533-position model. The record is from RNAcentral.
ACGUACACUCCUGCGGGAGGCAGCAGUGGGGAAUAUUGGACAAUGGGCGCAAGCCUGAUCCAGCCAUGCCGCGUGAGUGAUGAAGGCCCUAGGGUUGUAAAGCUCUUUCACCGGUGAAGAUAAUGACGGUAACCGGAGAAGAAGCCCCGGCUAACUUCGUGCCAGCAGCCGCGGUAAUACGAAGGGGGCUAGCGUUGUUCGGAUUUACUGGGCGUAAAGCGCACGUAGGCGGACUAUUAAGUCAGGGGUGAAAUCCCGGGGCUCAACCCCGGAACUGCCUUUGAUACUGGUAGUCUUGAGUUCGAGAGAGGUGAGUGGAAUUCCGAGUGUAGAGGUGAAAUUCGUAGAUAUUCGGAGGAACACCAGUGGCGAAGGCGGCUCACUGGCUCGAUACUGACGCUGAGGUGCGAAAGCGUGGGGAGCAAACAGGAUUAGAAACCCGUGUAGUCCCAU